UGGGGAAUAUUGGACAAUGGGCGAAAGCCUGAUCCAGCCAUGCCGCGUGUGUGAAGAAGGUCUUCGGAUUGUAAAGCACUUUAAGUUGGGAGGAAGGGCAUUAACCUAAUACGUUAGUGUUUUGACGUUACCGACAGAAUAAGCACCGGCUAACUCUGUGCCAGCAGCCGCGGUAAUACAGAGGGUGCAAGCGUUAAUCGGAAUUACUGGGCGUAAAGCGCGCGUAGGUGGUUUGUUAAGUUGGAUGUGAAAUCCCCGGGCUCAACCUGGGAACUGCAUUCAAAACUGACUGACUAGAGUAUGGUAGAGGGUGGUGGAAUUUCCUGUGUAGCGGUGAAAAGCGUAGAUAUAGGAAGGAACACCAGUGGCGAAGGCGACCACCUGGACUAAUACUGACACUGAGGUGCGAAAGCGUGGGGAGCAAACA
This 427-nucleotide ribosomal RNA is filed under the name uncultured bacterium. RNAcentral describes it as "partial 16S ribosomal RNA". It matches the Rfam family "Bacterial small subunit ribosomal RNA", at positions 355 to 774 of the family's 1533-position model. The record is from RNAcentral.